AUUGAACGCUGGCGGCAGGCCUAACACAUGCAAGUCGAGCGGAGCGGCGGACGGGUGAGUAAUGCCUAGGAAUCUGCCUGGUAGUGGGGGAUAACGUCCGGAAACGGGCGCUAAUACCGCAUACUAUCAGAUGAGCCUAGGUCGGAUUAGCUAGUUGGUGGGGUAAAGGCCUACCAAGGCGACGAGCCGUAACUGGUCUGAGAGGAUGAUCAGUCACAUUGGAACUGAGACACGUUCAAGCUCCCUAGGGGAGGAAGCAGUGGGGAUUAUUGGACAAUGGGCGAAGGCCGGAUCCAGCCAUGCCGCGUGUGGGAAGAAGGUUUUGGGAUUGUAAGCACUUUAAGUUGGGAGGCGUUACCAACAGAAUAAGCACCGGCUAACUUCGUGCCAGCAGCCGCGGUAAUAC
Molecule: ribosomal RNA, 406 nt
Filed under: uncultured bacterium
Lineage: Bacteria
Description: partial 16S ribosomal RNA
Rfam family: Bacterial small subunit ribosomal RNA
Source: RNAcentral